AAUAUCCAGCCAGGCAACACCAGACUUGGGUGGAAAAAGGGAUCACCGAAGCAACAUCCUUGUGAGGUCCCUCUUGAGACACAAACUAAUAGCAAACACUGCUCAGAAAACACUGAUUUUAAGGGUAAAUUUCUUUCACAUUUAAAUGAUAGCACAGUCCAUCAUUAGGGUGACAGUUUUUGGUUAUAAAUCCAAUAAUAUGUACUUUAGCCUGAAUGACUUAUCUUUGAACUCUGGUGUUUAUAAUUCAAGACCCAUUUUUCCACCUGGUCCCUGCCCCUGCCUCUCUGUGCAACAAAAAACAUGAGUCAAAAUAGUGCUGUUUUUCUAGUUCAAACGGGCAGAGAUCUGAGUUCAUCGCUCCUGUUUUCUCUGAGUACACAAGGGAAGAUAUCGACCCGGGCUCCCCUCGGGACAUUACUGAUGGAUGUUUCAGAAACGUGGUGGCUUCGCCAGGUUCCCAGUGGGAUUCUGGGGCCUGGAUGACCCAGACCUGUUGGCUUCACCAGGUGGAGUCACUCUGCUUGGGUAUGACCCAAGCCUGGGCCGUCAAACCUCUGGAUUCCAGCUCUCUGGAGGCACCUUUGCCUCCCCUCACACCCCCGCUGCUGGGCUUCACACCAUGUGUGGUCACCCGAUGAGCUUCCAUCUGCCCUCUGUCUGUGCAUCCCAUGAGGGCGGGGGCAAGUCUGCAUUUCUCAUAAAACAGCCCUGUUUCUGGAACAUUCUAGGUACUCAAUAAACACUCAGUGAAUGAGUGAAACACAACUUCCUCAAGGAGAAGAUCCUGGCCAUGCUGGAGAGGAAGAAAACACAGUUCAUCCACAGCAUGGACGAAGAUGAGAAUGAGUCACCGGCCUGGGAGCAUUUCCCAUGAGCCCUCGCUACAACAACCGUAUCCCAUCCCUGGCUAACCCCAGCCAAGGAGAAAUAAAGUAACCGUGUGUGUG
Non-coding RNA from Macaca mulatta (Rhesus monkey), 950 nucleotides. The record is from RefSeq and is a predicted model, not a curated record. Lineage: Eukaryota; Metazoa; Chordata; Mammalia; Primates; Cercopithecidae.